UAUUGGUAUCAAGAGCGGGAUUAAAUUCUCCUCCAACCUGCCAACUCCGGCAAGGUGGAAAAAAUGAUGCGGUUAACCAACAACCAAAGGAGUCUAA
This 97-nucleotide non-coding RNA is filed under the name unclassified sequences. Its description in RNAcentral is "SAM-I-IV sequence". It matches the Rfam family "SAM-I/IV (S-adenosyl methionine) riboswitch aptamer". From Rfam's summary of the family: It is found upstream of a number of genes which code for proteins involved in methionine or cysteine biosynthesis. It has been found mostly in the order Actinomycetales. The record is from Rfam by way of RNAcentral.